Long non-coding RNA from Diorhabda carinulata, 576 nucleotides. RefSeq lists it as uncharacterized. The transcript has 2 exons. NCBI's taxonomy places the organism in Eukaryota, Metazoa, Arthropoda, Insecta, Coleoptera, Chrysomelidae. The record is from RefSeq and is a predicted model, not a curated record.
AUUCGUUAUACGUUAUUUUUAUUUUAUUUUAUAUUUAUGUAUAAUGUUCUUGUGCAAAAGUGAGUGUAAAAGAAUGCGAAGACAACAGUUCAUUAUUUUCAUGUUGAAUUCCGACACAGUCGUACAGAGCCACUUUUCGCGAGAAGUAAAUCUAUUAGCGUUUUAGGUGAUAUCGGAUUGAAUUUAUUAGUUUUCCGUAAAUAGAUGUAGGUUUGGCAACGUUGGCAGUUAGAUAAAUAGUUCGUCAGAUUACGUGGACCGGUAACACCCGAAACUUUUGAAGGAGUGGCGAGUUGUCGUUAAAAAAGGCGGAGUUUCAAGCUCAGGGAAGCCAUUAAAUUAUCAUCUACCCAACGACAUACGGACACAAAACCUACUGGAGAUUUUUUACGUCACACAAUCAAUAUACGAGAGAACAUAUUCUAUCACUGUCAUUAGUGAGAUUUCUUAAUAAUUCCGAGUUUUAUUGCCAAAUUUAGUUGAUAAAACUUGUCGGAAAUGGGGUGUAAACACAUUGAUAUGCUAUCGAAUAUAUUUAAUAAAAUUAUUUUACAAAAAUUAAAAUACUAAACUGAC